Molecule: small nuclear RNA, 22 nt
Filed under: Arabidopsis thaliana (thale cress)
Lineage: Eukaryota; Viridiplantae; Streptophyta; Magnoliopsida; Brassicales; Brassicaceae
Description: snRNA_15067
Source: RNAcentral
UGGCCUCUUCAACCAAGAAGAU